Molecule: long non-coding RNA, 860 nt
Filed under: Medicago truncatula (barrel medic)
Lineage: Eukaryota; Viridiplantae; Streptophyta; Magnoliopsida; Fabales; Fabaceae
Description: long non-coding RNA (MTRU_LNC002725)
Source: RNAcentral
GGUUAUUUAUCGCGAUUACACUAUAGUCUUUUUGGAUGGUGGUGUUCAGGGUUCGAACCUCGGAUCAACUGAGUUAAGUUCACCGGAACGAUUACAAUGUAGUCUAAAUGAAUCGGAAUUGAACUGAUUUUAUUAAUUUAUUUUCUAAUGGAUUAAACUAUGCUCAAAAGGUUUCACUAAUUUGACCUUCGUAUGGGUUUAAAAUUUUGUACCACAAAUGUCUUAUCGAAACCACAUAAUAUAUAACUACAAAAACAAUAGUGACAUAAUACAAAAAGAUACAUAACCCCUUCUUGCUACUACAAUCAUCAUUGAGCAAUAUUAUCUAAAAAAAAUAUAACGUGAUACAUAACCUAAUUAAACAAUACUAUCUAAAAAAAAGUUGAGCAAUAAAAACACUUCUUCUCUCUUCCCAUAUUCUACCUUCUUCCGAAACAUAAACACACGUGUGUUAUGCAUGAAUAUGCAAAUAGUAGGCAAUGAAGGAGAAGAGAGUGGCACCAAGGAUUGAACCAAAAGAAACAGCAUCACUACUGUUUGGUCCUGGGGCAGGACUUUCAACAUGGUUUUGAUGAUAUUGAUGAUCAAGUGGAAUAUCUCUGGUGCUGGCUGCUAUGAGGACAACAACAAAAGCAACAAUCUUCUUCAUCUCCAUUGUGUUUUGUUUUUAGUACUAGUAUGUUAAUGUUAAUUACACAACAAUAUGAAAUGAGAUGGAAUUAUGGGAGGGUUAAUUUAUGGUGGGAAGGACGCGUGUUGAUUAUUACUCCCUCCAUUGUUGAGUUUAAUGAUAUAAUUAUUUUAUUAAUUGUAGUUAAUGCAGAAUUAAAUGAAAAUAAAAUUUAAUAAAUAAGAGUAUA